GAUGAACGCUGGCGGCGUGCCUAAUACAUGCAAGUCGAGCGAACGGACGAGAAGCUUGCUUUUCUGAUGUUAGCGGCGGACGGGUGAGUAACACGUGGAUAACCUACCUAUAAGACUGGGAUAACUUCGGGAAACCGGAGCUAAUACCGGAUAAUAUUUUGAACCGCAUGGUUCAAAAGUGAAAGACGGUCUUGCUGUCACUUAUAGAUUGAUCCGCGCUGCAUUAGCUAGUUGGUAAGGUAACGGCUUACCAAGGCAACGAUGCAUAGCCGACCUGAGAGGGUGAUCGGCCACACUGGAACUGAGACACGGUCCAGACUCCGACGGGAGGCAGCAGUAGGGAAGCGUCCGCAAUGGGCGAAAGCCUGACGGAUCAACGCCGCGUGAGUGAUGAAGGUCUUCGGAUCGUAAAACGCUGUUAUUGUGGAAGAACAUAUGUGUAAGUAACUGUGCACAGCGUGACGGUACCUAAUCAGAAAGCCACGGCUAACUACGUG
Molecule: ribosomal RNA, 497 nt
Filed under: uncultured bacterium
Lineage: Bacteria
Description: partial 16S ribosomal RNA
Rfam family: Bacterial small subunit ribosomal RNA
Source: RNAcentral